Molecule: non-coding RNA, 292 nt
Organism: Salmo salar (Atlantic salmon)
Lineage: Eukaryota; Metazoa; Chordata; Actinopteri; Salmoniformes; Salmonidae
Source: RefSeq, a predicted model, not a curated record
GCGCACAUGAGCAAGAGAAGAUGAGGUAAAGAAAACCAAAACGAUCUACUUGAAGGUGGAGAGGGAGUAAGAUCACUAGAAAGCAGCAUGCUGCCAGACCACCAAUUGACACUAGAGGCGCCUGGUGGAGGUGAAUAAAACAAUACUCCAAGGCAGGUCAUAUCCCUGCAUCCAGUUUGAGGCCUGCUACAGGCAGGAACAUGGAGCAUUCCAUGUCAGUGCUAAAGAGACAUAAUAUUCCAAAGCCUUCAGCCCAACUACUGUACCUGCGAUCUCUCCAGAGAACAGAGAA